CCUCUGUGGAAAGGUGAGACUCUCACAAACACAUACGUACAUGUUGUACAAGCCUCACAAGACUAAUCUGAAGGUAGCCUGCUCAACAGUGCUCAACAGUUUCCUGUGUGUAUCAAGAAUGGGCCACCACCCAAAGGACAUCCAGCCAACUUGACACAACUGUGCCCAGGGUUUCCCUGAUGGAUCAGACACAUGGAGAAGUCAAGUGCCAGCUGUAUCACAACCGGCCGUGAUUGGGAGUCCCAUAGGGCGGCGCACAACUGGCCCAGCGUCGUCCGGAUUUGGCCGUCAUUAUGACAAAACCUGCACACAGGCCAAGGGGUGCAGGUCUGCCGACUUCCUUCUGGCCACACAUUGUAUUCUGAGAAAUAGGACAUUGCUUUAACUGUGAAUGUACUUUAUUGCAGAUAUUUUCCUCAAAUAAAAUUCACCAUACAUUAAAAUAAACAAGUUAUUACAACUGAUUUACAUUGGGUCUAAUGUGUGUAUGAGGCAUGUUUUUCAACUCAGAAAAAAAGCACACAAAAUGUCCUAAAACUACAUAUUAAGCAAGUCUUUUACAAUAUUAUCAAUCACACUUUGAUUUGAUAGAUAGUUUGAGUAAUUAUGUAGAUAUUGAGCAUGUCUAUGAGGGAGUAGAUAUCUCCAAUCCUACAAUAAAAUGGAGCAAACAUUAAACAAGUAAUUACAACUUAUUUACAUUGUGGAUGUGUG
Molecule: long non-coding RNA, 714 nt
Organism: Oncorhynchus tshawytscha (Chinook salmon)
Lineage: Eukaryota; Metazoa; Chordata; Actinopteri; Salmoniformes; Salmonidae
Source: Ensembl